GACGAACGCUGGCGGCGUGCUUAACACAUGCAAGUCGAGCGGUAAGGCCCUUUCGGGGGUACACGAGCGGCGAACGGGUGAGUAACACGUGGGUGACCUGCCCUCAGCUCUGGGGUAAGCCUGGGAAACCGGGUCUAAGUACCGGAUAUGAACUCCGAUGACGCAUGUUGUGGGGUGGAAAGCCUUGUGCGGCUGAGGAUGGGCCCGCGGCCUAUCAGCUUGUUGGUGGGGUGAUGGCCUACCAAGGCGACGACGGGUAGCCGGCCUGAGA
Molecule: ribosomal RNA, 271 nt
Filed under: uncultured bacterium
Lineage: Bacteria
Description: partial 16S ribosomal RNA
Rfam family: Bacterial small subunit ribosomal RNA
Source: RNAcentral